RNAcentral lists this ribosomal RNA (2313 nucleotides) under Triticum aestivum (bread wheat). RNAcentral's name for it is "partial small subunit ribosomal RNA". Lineage: Eukaryota; Viridiplantae; Streptophyta; Magnoliopsida; Poales; Poaceae. The record is from RNAcentral.
AUGGCCGCGCCUCCCUUGCAAUCCCGUUCCCGGCUGCUGCUGCUGGCAGCUAUCACAAGCAUCCUUGCCGCCGCGACUGAUCUCUUGGACCUGGCUGCUGCUCAACCGCCCAUCGCGCUUCCGCAUUGCCGCGACAAGUGUGGCAACACCAGCAUCCCCUUCCCGUUCGGCAUUGGGCGGGGCUGCUUCCUGAGUGACCCAUUCGAGAUCAACUGCGACGACUCCACCACUCCACCUCGCGCCUUCCUUAGCAGUGACUCAUACCAGACAAUGGUCGAGUCCAGCUAUUCCAAUUCCGGCGCUCCUUUUCAGUUCAACGAGACGGCGAUAUCGCAUUUUCCAGUCGAGCUCAUUGACAUAUCAGUCGCCAAGAAUGAGGUACGGGCAUACGCCGCGGUUUCAUCCUACUGCAUCAAAUCCCCUACGGAGCAGGUAUUCAAGGUUCAUCACACUGUUGUGGGGCCUAACAAGUUCAUAUAUCCGCUCGCCCUGUCCAAGCGCAACUCUCUGAUCGGUGUCGGCAUGAAUGUCAAAGCCAUGUUGGUGAGCGAGUCGGCACUCACGUCGCCAGACCCGGAUUUACAGGUGGUAUCACCAUCCUGCUCAUCCGUUGCCGAAAUUGGUGGUUUCUACUCGCCCACAAAUGGGUCGUGCGCGGGUUAUGGCUGCUGUCAGGUCCUCUUCGCGGCGAAGGAGGAUACCCUCGGCGACUUUCGGGUGUCGCUCAAUCCCGCGUACAAUGGUACACAACUGGGUUGGGAAGAAGCCCCAUGCUCGUACGGAAUGGUGGUGGAGAGUUCAUGGUACAACUUCUCUACGCCGGACCUGUUUGGGUAUGAGGUGUUAUCCAAAAAACUCCAAAGGGGCGUCCCCUUUGUUAUCGAUUUCAGCGUUUUGGCCGACGGCGCAGCUAUACGUCCCGGUUUUGGUUUCGGUACAUUUGAUUUUUGGAGCGGCUCAUGUCCGGCGGAAGGCCAGCGGGCACCUCCGCGCUACGCCUGCUCCAGCAGCAACAGCUAUUGUGCCAACACAAGCAAUACAGAUGGUUACACCUAUGUCUGCAAGUGCAGGAAGUAUUACGAGGGCAAUCCCUAUGUCACUAAUGGAUGCCAAGAUAUACAUGAGUGCAAAAAACCUGAUUUGUAUCCCUGCUAUGGGGACUGCAAGAACCGACUUGGAGGCUACGACUGUCCAUGCAAGCGCGGAAUGAAGGGUGAUGGCAAAGCAGGAACCUGCAAACAGAUAUUCCCCCUAAUUGCUAGGGUGAUUGUGGGUGCAAUAGGUUCUAUUAUUUUAUUGGUUAUAUUAUUUCUUGUUAUUCUUCAAAAGGAGAAAAGGAAGACCAGAGACUUCUACCAAAAGAAUGGUGGGCCUGUUUUGGAGAAGGCAAAAAUUAUAAAACUUUUCAAAAAGGAAGAGCUGAAUCCGAUUUUAAAGAGUAGCAAUUUUAUUGAAAAAGGUGGGUUUGGUGAAGUUUAUAAGGGCUUUCUUAAUAAUGAACUAGUUGCAGUAAAGAAGCCAAUCAGCGGUAGUGUGCUGGAGAUUGCAGGGCCGGUCCAUGCAUGUUGGGGGCCCUGGGGCGAAAUUAAAACUUAGGAGAUUGAACAAUUCGCAAAUGAAGUCAUCAUCCAGUCUCAAGUCAUCCACAAGAAUAUUGUUAGGCUCAUAGGUUGUUGCCUAGAAGUUGAUAUCCCAAUGCUAGUGUAUGAGUUCCUCCCUAAAGGUAGUCUAGAAGACAUUCUUCAUAGUGGCCACAAGAUGCCUAUCAACUUGGAUCUGCGUUUAAGAAUUGCUGCAGAAUCAGCAGAUGGUCUAGCUUAUAUGCAUUCAAAGACCACUACUAAGAUCGUACAUGGUGAUGUUAAACCAGCAAACAUACUGUUGGAUGAUAAAUUUGUGCCGAAGAUCUCAGACUUUGGCAUAUCAAGGUUGAUUGCAAGAGAUAAACAACAUACCCUAUCAAUCAUUGGUGACAGAAGCUACAUGGAUCCUGUAUAUUUCCAAACAGGCCUACUAACUGAAAAAAGUGAUGUUUACAGUUUUGGAGUUGUGAUCUUGGAGCUUAUCAGCAGGGAGAAGGCCACACAUUCUGACAAUAAUAGCUUGGUAAAUAAUUUCCUUGAAGCUCACAAGAAUGAGAAGAAAGCAACUGAGUUUUUUGACAAGGAAAUUGCAGUAACAAGAGAUCUAGACCUUCUUGAUAGUCUAGCGGAGAUGGCCGUGGAAUGCCUUAGCCUUGAUGUGGAUCAGAGACCAACAAUGACAGAGGUAGCAGAGCAACUCUUCAAACUGAGUCGAUCUCGUGACUUUUAA